This 219-nucleotide unclassified non-coding RNA is filed under the name uncultured Tomentella. RNAcentral describes it as "sequence contains ITS2". Lineage: Eukaryota; Fungi; Basidiomycota; Agaricomycetes; Thelephorales; Thelephoraceae. The record is from RNAcentral.
ACACCUCAACUCCUCAUGGUUUGCCAUGAUGAGCUUGGACCUUGGGGGUAUUGCUGGCCCUGUGGUUGGCUCCUCUCAAAUGGAUCAGCUUGCCAGUGUUUGGUGGCAUCACAGGUGUGAUAAAUAUCUACGCUUGUGGUUUUCCACCAUGUAACCUUCAGCGAUGAAGGUGCGCUGGAGCUCACAAAUGUCCCUCCUCAGCGAGGACAGCUUUUGAAC